Molecule: unclassified non-coding RNA, 260 nt
Filed under: uncultured fungus
Lineage: Eukaryota; Fungi
Also listed under: 1 other name
Description: partial contains 5.8S ribosomal RNA, internal transcribed spacer 2, and large subunit ribosomal RNA
Source: RNAcentral
AACGCACAUUGCGCCCAUUAGUAUUCUAGUGGGCAUGCCUGUUCGAGCGUCAUUUCAACCCUCGGGCCCGUAUGGGACCGGCGUUGGGGUCUUUUUGCCGUAAGGCAAGCCCCGAAAGCAAGUGGCGGGCCUGCUGAGACCCUAAGCGUAGUAGUUUACACCAUCGCUCUGGGGCGCUUAGCAGGCGACACCAGCCGUUAAAGCACUUCAAGUCUUACAAGGUUGACCUCGGAUCAGGUAGGAAUACCCGCUGAACUUAA